This 270-nucleotide ribosomal RNA is filed under the name uncultured soil bacterium. RNAcentral's name for it is "partial 16S ribosomal RNA". It matches the Rfam family "Bacterial small subunit ribosomal RNA", at positions 26 to 282 of the family's 1533-position model. The record is from RNAcentral.
AGAAUCAACGCUGGCGGCGUGCCUCAGACAUGCAAGUCGAACGCGAAAGUCCCCUUCGGGGGACAAGUAGAGUGGCGCACGGGUGAGUAACACGUAGGUAAUCUACCUUCGGAUGGGGAAUAACAACCGGAAACGGUUGCUAAUACCGCAUAAUGCAGCGGCACCUAAUGGUGACAGUUGUUAAAGCGGGGGAUCGAAAGACCUCGCGUCUGAAGAGGAGCCUGCGGCGGAUUAGCUAGUUGGCGGGUAACGCCACCAAGGCGACGAUCA